GAUGAACGCUAGCGGCAGGCUUAACACAUGCAAGUCGAGGGGUAACAGGGAAGAGCUUGCUUUUCUGCUGACGACCGGCGCACGGGUGCGUAACGCGUAUAGAACCUACCUUUUACAGGGGAAUAGCCCAGAGAAAUUUGGAUUAAUGCCCCAUAGUAUUAUUGAAUGGCAUCAUUUAAUAAUUAAACAUUUAUGGGUAAAAGAUGGCUAUGCGUUCUAUUAGCUAGAUGGUAAGGUAACGGCUUACCAUGGCAACGAUAGAUAGGGGUCCUGAGAGGGAGAUCCCCCACACUGGUACUGAGACACGGACCAGACUCCUACGGGAGGCAGCAGUGAGGAAUAUUGGACAAUGGAGGCAACUCUGAUCCAGCCAUGCCGCGUGCAGGAAGACGGUCCUAUGGAUUGUAAACUGCUUUUAUAUAGGAAGAAACCUUUCCACGUGUGGAAAGCUGACGGUACUAUAAGAAUAAGCACCGGCUAACUCCGUGCCAGCAGCCGCGGUAAUACGGAGGGUGCAAGCGUUAUCCGGAAUCAUUGGGUUUAAAGGGUCCGUAGGCGGACUAAUAAGUCAGGGGUGAAAUCCAACAGCUUAACUGUUGAACUGCCUUUGAUACUGUUAGUCUUGAGUUAUAUGGAAGUAGAUAGAAUAUGUAGUGUAGCGGUGAAAUGCUUAGAGAUUACAUAGAAUACCGAUUGCGAAGGCAGUCUACUACGUAUAUA
This 720-nucleotide ribosomal RNA is filed under the name Lutibacter sp. RNAcentral describes it as "bacterial SSU rRNA". It matches the Rfam family "Bacterial small subunit ribosomal RNA", at positions 28 to 739 of the family's 1533-position model. Lineage: Bacteria; Pseudomonadati; Bacteroidota; Flavobacteriia; Flavobacteriales; Flavobacteriaceae. The record is from RNAcentral.